Molecule: ribosomal RNA, 429 nt
Filed under: Pseudomonadota bacterium
Lineage: Bacteria; Pseudomonadati; Pseudomonadota
Description: Proteobacteria bacterium partial 16S ribosomal RNA
Rfam family: Bacterial small subunit ribosomal RNA
Source: RNAcentral
UGGGGAAUAUUGGACAAUGGGCGAAAGCCUGAUCCAGCCAUGCCGCGUGUGUGAAGAAGGUCUUCGGAUUGUAAAGCACUUUAAGUUGGGAGGAAGGGCAGUAAGCGAAUACCUUGCUGUUUUGACGUUACCGACAGAAUAAGCACCGGCUAACUCUGUGCCAGCAGCCGCGGUAAUACAGAGGGUGCAAGCGUUAAUCGGAAUUACUGGGCGUAAAGCGCGCGUAGGUGGUUCGUUAAGUUGAAUGUGAAAGCCCCGGGCUCAACCUGGGAACUGCAUCCAAAACUGGCGAGCUAGAGUAGGGCAGAGGGUGGUGGAAUUUCCUGUGUAGCGGUGAAAUGCGUAGAUAUAGGAAGGAACACCAGUGGCGAAGGCGACCACCUGGGCUCAUACUGACACUGAGGUGCGAAAGCGUGGGGAGCGAACAGG